AAAAAUGCACAAAUUUAAUCCCAAAAAUGUGACACAAAUUGUCACAUUACAUCUUCAUGUGUCAAAAACAAUGAUAGCAUAUGAGAAAAAAUUCAAACCAGUGCUCAAAAAUCAUAUCAUGAGUGAAGAUUAAGCAUGCAAAAAUUUGGAUCAAGAAGCUCAACAUAUAGAAUUUCACAAAGCAUUGAUCACAACAUAUCAAUUUAGCACAAGGUUCAAUCAAAAAUUC
Molecule: long non-coding RNA, 229 nt
Filed under: Lathyrus oleraceus (garden pea)
Lineage: Eukaryota; Viridiplantae; Streptophyta; Magnoliopsida; Fabales; Fabaceae
Description: Pisum sativum (pea) long non-coding RNA (PSAT_LNC015491)
Source: RNAcentral